GAUGAAUAGGGCGCUGGGGUACGCCGCCGGGCUCAUAACCCGGAACCGCUGAGUUCGAAUCUUAGAUUCAUCA
This 73-nucleotide transfer RNA is filed under the name Caudoviricetes sp. RNAcentral's name for it is "tRNA-Met". It matches the Rfam family "tRNA". Rfam says of the family: Transfer RNA (tRNA) molecules are approximately 80 nucleotides in length. Lineage: Duplodnaviria; Heunggongvirae; Uroviricota; Caudoviricetes. The record is from RNAcentral.